UACGGGGGGGGCAAGCGUUGUUCGGAAUUACUGGGCGUAAAGGGCUCGUAGGCGGCCAACUAAGUCCGACGUGAAAUCCCCAGGCUUAACCUGGGAACUGCGUCGGAUACUGGAUGGCUUGAAUCCGGGAGAGGGAUGCGGAAUUCCCGGUGUAGCGGUGAAAUGCGCAGAUAUCGGGAAGAACACCCGUGGCGAAGGCGGCUCUCUGGAACGCAACUGACGCUGAGACGCGAAAGCGUGGGGAGCAAACAGG
Molecule: ribosomal RNA, 253 nt
Filed under: uncultured bacterium
Lineage: Bacteria
Description: partial 16S ribosomal RNA
Rfam family: Bacterial small subunit ribosomal RNA
Source: RNAcentral